GCAUAACUAUAUGCUAAUGAAAAACAAAUAUAAUUGUAAACAAAUAAGUAAAUUCAAAGUAAAAAUAUUUUGUAGUGAUGGCGAAAAUUCUUUCAAAUCAAUGUGAAUAUAUUGCAAGUGACACAAGUAAUAUUUAUAAUGAGAAAUGGAAAAGUUGGUGUCGACUCUGUGCUAAAGCUGAUGAACGUUGCGUUAAUGUUAUAUCUGGGAUACAUUCACAUUCACAACCAUCAAAUGAAACUAGUUUUAGCCAGGAUAUUAACUUGUCUUAUUUAAUUGCUAAAUAUUUUCAAAUCGAAAUACAGGAAGACGAAAAACUUUCACAAGUAAUUUGCUUAGAGUGUUGCAAAUAUAUCACAGCUCUUAAUAAGUUUGGGGAACGCGUAAACAAUGUGCAACAAAUGUAUGAUGAGCUUUAUAAGUGUAAAGACAAAACAAGACUUAAUAUGGGUUUUCUAUUAGAGAAAUAUGGCAUAUUUAACGAUGAAUCAAUACUUGCGCACGAUGAAAACGAAUUGCCAGUUGAGAAAAUAUUUAUUGCUGGUUUGGCAAUUUCGCCUGAAACUGAAUCUCCCAUAGUUGAUAUAAAAAAUGAAGUAGUCACAGUCUUAGAACAAGUGGAUAGAACAUCGCAGGCUGACAAUAAAGAAGAUGCAGAAUUUCAUGAUCCCAUCGGUGAUGAGACGCGGCAUAGCGAAAAAGCAUAUUGUACAACAACAGAUAGUGAAGGAAGUAGUUCUGGUGAAGACAAUUAUUCUGAAGAUGAUGCAGAUUCAACAAAACAUAACAAAAAUCGUUUGAAAAAAACUAGUGAAGACACUGAGGAGCAAACAUGCAAUAUAUGUUCACAAAUUUUUCAACGUCGCAGCAACUAUUCAACACAUAUGAAGAGAAAGCAUGGAGUGAUCGUUUGUCCACAGUGUCCCGGUUCAUUUAAAAAUAUUUCAAGUCUCAACAAACAUAUGGUAGAGCAUCGUAAGUCUUUUAAUUGUACACAAUGUGAACAAAAGUUCGAAAGAAAAGGUCUGUUGGGUAAGCACAUGAGAAAUGAUCAUAAAGCAGGUGGCAAAUUUAUAUGUGAAGCAUGCGGAGAAGCAAUGACGACGAAAAAGCAAUUGACGCUACAUAUGUUGACCCAUAGCGACUAUACUCCAUAUAAAUGCAAAGACUGUGGCAGAUGUUUCAAAGAGAAAUAUCUUUUGAAGAGGCAUUCCGAAAUACACGGGGAUAAGGUCAUCUGUCCUGUAUGUGGUAAACAGCUUAGUUGUCGCGCUACGUUCAAUAAUCAUAUGUUGGUUCAUUCAGACAACGCUCCAUAUAAAUGUGACGUAUGUGGACGUGCUUUUAAACGUGGCAAAGCACUAAAAUACCACCUGCUUGCUCAUACUGGCCUAAGACCUUAUUCAUGUGACUUUUGUGAUAAAACAUUUUCUACUGGUUCAAGCUGUCGGUUUCAUAAGAAAACAAUGCAUCCAGUUGAACUGGCUGCUCUUGAGGCAUCAGGCGCCAAGGCCUAUACAAAAAAUGUACCAAACUUGGAUUCAUUACGAGCCGUAGCGAAAACUGGACGCAAUUUCUUACCAUUAGCAUCAAAACAAAAUGGAUAUACGAUUUUAAGGAACUCAAAAGAUGCUAGUUGCGAAGAUGGCAAGGACGGAGAUGAUAAUAAUAUUGUUGAUAAAUAAGUAGUCAGUGAUAAUGUAUGUAUGUAAAUGAUUUAUUAUUGGUUUAAAUAACAGAAGUCUAAAACUUUUUGGUUCAACAAAGAAGGAGUGAGUUCCAAAACGUCAGCUGUAAAACAACCAUACAUUGUCACGCAUUCCUAAAUGAAAUUGUGCAUACUUUGACGAUGUAUCAUGUCAGAAAUUGCAUCGCAACUUCACCGGUUUCGCAACCGCAUCAUUACAAAGUAUUUUGACGUUUUGGAACUCGCCUAAAUAACAUAAAUUAUAUCAAACAAUAGCUGCAUGUAAACUAAUUUUUGUAACAUGAGAUUUUAAGAUAUUAUAUGUAUGUAUGGGUUAAUAGUACAUAUGUGUGUAUAAAAUUCAAAUGUGGACUGACAGUGCUCUAUAUAAAUGUGUCCGCUAUUAUUUAAAUUAAGGCAGAAAUAAAAUGGAUUUACUCAAUUAAGAUAAGUGCAAAAAAAUAAAC
This is an RNA transcript of Ceratitis capitata (Mediterranean fruit fly), 2154 nucleotides long. It is a transcript of the gene named zinc finger protein weckle-like, with no coding region annotated. The transcript has 5 exons. The record is from RefSeq and is a predicted model, not a curated record. Lineage: Eukaryota; Metazoa; Arthropoda; Insecta; Diptera; Tephritidae.